GGUGGGUACCGGGUGCUGCUAGGUUCUUCUCCCACCCUAUAAGCGGAGGUAGAAUGCUUUGCAAGCUUUAAUAAGAAGGGACAGGAGAAAAGGAGACAUGAGGGCAAAAGGGGUGGAUGGGGAGAAGGUGGUAUGGUGUGGUGCGCAGGCGGUGAAGUUGAAAGAAGUUGUUCAUGAGAUUUUCAAGACCAAGAGGUGAAGUAGCGAAGGACUCGUGUUUUCUUCCGGACGCAACAGAUGCUGCAAGUGCAUUUUAAGAGGCUACCCGCUUGCCUUAUGUUCACCUACUAGAGCCUCACUCUUCUUUCCGGGAAAAGUAAAGAUAAAUAAAUAAAAGGUCAAAACUUUC
Phascolarctos cinereus (koala) is the source of this 349-nucleotide long non-coding RNA. RefSeq lists it as uncharacterized. NCBI's taxonomy places the organism in Eukaryota, Metazoa, Chordata, Mammalia, Diprotodontia, Phascolarctidae. The record is from RefSeq and is a predicted model, not a curated record.